This 86-nucleotide transfer RNA is filed under the name subsurface metagenome. RNAcentral describes it as "tRNA-Leu". It matches the Rfam family "tRNA". From Rfam's summary of the family: Transfer RNA (tRNA) molecules are approximately 80 nucleotides in length. Their secondary structure includes four short double-helical elements and three loops (D, anti-codon, and T loops). The record is from RNAcentral.
UGCGGAUGUGGCGGAAUUGGCAGACGCGCAGGCUUCAGGUGCCUGUGCCCCUUGGGGCGUGGAGGUUCGACUCCUCUCAUCCGCAU